This 164-nucleotide ribosomal RNA is filed under the name uncultured bacterium. RNAcentral's name for it is "partial 16S rRNA". It matches the Rfam family "Bacterial small subunit ribosomal RNA", at positions 355 to 511 of the family's 1533-position model. The record is from RNAcentral.
UAGGGAAUCUUCCACAAUGGGCGCAAGCCUGAUGGAGCAACACCGCGUGAGUGAAGAAGGGUUUCGGCUCGUAAAGCUCUGUUGUUAAAGAAGAACACGUAUGAGAGUAACUGUUCAUACGUUGACGGUAUUUAACCAGAAAGUCACGGCUGACUACGUGCCAG